Molecule: long non-coding RNA, 401 nt
Filed under: Helianthus annuus (common sunflower)
Lineage: Eukaryota; Viridiplantae; Streptophyta; Magnoliopsida; Asterales; Asteraceae
Description: sRNA HanXRQr2_Chr15g0694821
Source: RNAcentral
GAUGCAAUAAAGCAUGAACUUCCAUGUAAAUAGAUACCAUAUAGCAUGAUAAUGUGGUAUAUAAAAAAAUCUUUGCAGUGUAAUAUUAACGGAUAAAUAAAGUAUAUAAUUGUUACGGUCUAUAUGGAGGCUCAUAAGAAAGGGUUUCUUCUUCUCUUUAUCGAUCUUACUCUCGAUUACCAUUUGUGUUCGUAUCAAUAAUCAAAGCUUUACAAUUUAAAUGGCUUUUGUACAUAAAUUUUUAACAUACUAAAUUAGUAAACUUACUAGAAAUAAUGUUGGUAUGCCUCUCGGGACAAAUUUGCUCCCCAUCAGCAAGUUCUUCAUAUUCAGCAUCAUCCAAAGACUCAGCCCGUAUCGGGGUAUAACCCAGAUAAGGAUCCAAAGUAGGAAGAUAGACA